UACGUAGGGUGCAAGCGUUGUCCGGAAUUAUUGGGCGUAAAGAGCUCGUAGGCGGUCUGUCGCGUCUGCUGUGAAAACUCAGGGCUUAACCCUGAGCUUGCAGUGGGUACGGGCAGACUAGAGUGCGGUAGGGGAGACUGGAAUUCCUGGUGUAGCGGUGAAAUGCGCAGAUAUCAGGAGGGAACACCGGUGGCGAAAGGCGGGUCUCUGGGCCGUAACUGACGCUGGAGG
Molecule: ribosomal RNA, 231 nt
Filed under: uncultured bacterium
Lineage: Bacteria
Description: partial 16S ribosomal RNA
Rfam family: Bacterial small subunit ribosomal RNA
Source: RNAcentral